GCGCUACUGACGAGUCUCAAACAGGACGAAACAGCUGUCUAGUGC
This 45-nucleotide non-coding RNA is filed under the name Echinostoma caproni. The record is from RNAcentral. Lineage: Eukaryota; Metazoa; Platyhelminthes; Trematoda; Plagiorchiida; Echinostomatidae.